This 459-nucleotide ribosomal RNA is filed under the name uncultured bacterium. RNAcentral describes it as "bacterial SSU rRNA". It matches the Rfam family "Bacterial small subunit ribosomal RNA", at positions 343 to 794 of the family's 1533-position model. The record is from RNAcentral.
GGGAGGCAGCAGUGGGGAAUAUUGCGCAAUGGGCGAAAGCCUGACGCAGCAACGCCGCGUGUGUGAUGAAGGCCUUCGGGUUGUAAAGCACUGUCAGGAGGGAAGAACGUGUCUGGGAGUAACUGCCUAGGCACUGACGGUACCUUCGGAGGAAGCACCGGCUAACUCCGUGCGAGCAGCCGCGGUAAUACGGAGGGUGCAAGCGUUGUUCGGAAUCAUUGGGCGUAAAGGGCGCGUAGGCGGUCCACCAAGUCAGGUGUGAAAUCCCUCGGCUUAACUGAGGAACUGCGCUUGAGACUGGCGGACUUGAGUACGGGAGAGGGCAGCGGAAUUUCGAGUGUAGAGGUGAAAUUCGUAGAUAUUCGGAGGAACACCAGUGGCGAAGGCGGCUGCCUGGACCGAUACUGACGCUGAGGCGCGAAAGCGUGGGGAGCAAACAGGAUUAGAUACCCCGGUAGC